UCCUGGUUAACCCAGGCAGUCUCCUUAGAGUGCCCAACUUAAUGCUGGCAACUAAGAAUAGGGGUUGCGCUCGUUGCGAGACUUAACCCAACAUUUCACAACACGAGCUGACGACAGCCAUGCAGCACCUGUCACUGCGUUCCCCGAAGGGCACCAAUUCAUCUCUGAAAAGUUCGCAGGAUUUCAAGCCCAGGUAAGGUUCUUCGCGUUGCUUCGAAUUAAACCACAUGAUCCACCGCUUGUGCGGGCCCCCGUCAAUUCCUUUGAGUUUUAAUCUUGCGACCGUACUCCCCAGGCGGAGCACUUAAUGCGUUAGCUGCGAGACCGCAGGGGUCAAUACCCGCAAUCUCUAGUGCUCAUCGUUUACAGCGUGGACUAC
RNAcentral lists this unclassified non-coding RNA (379 nucleotides) under uncultured Bacteriovoracaceae bacterium. Its description in RNAcentral is "contains 16S-23S intergenic spacer region". The record is from RNAcentral. Lineage: Bacteria; Pseudomonadati; Bdellovibrionota; Bacteriovoracia; Bacteriovoracales; Bacteriovoracaceae.